GGGGAUUUAGCUCAGUGGUAGAGCGCUUGCCUAGCAAGCGUAAGGCCCUGGGUUCGGUCCCAGCUCCG
Molecule: transfer RNA, 68 nt
Filed under: Rattus norvegicus (Norway rat)
Lineage: Eukaryota; Metazoa; Chordata; Mammalia; Rodentia; Muridae
Rfam family: tRNA
About the family: Transfer RNA (tRNA) molecules are approximately 80 nucleotides in length. Their secondary structure includes four short double-helical elements and three loops (D, anti-codon, and T loops). Further hydrogen bonds mediate the characteristic L-shaped molecular structure. tRNAs have two regions of fundamental functional importance: the anti-codon, which is responsible for specific mRNA codon recognition, and the 3' end, to which the tRNAs corresponding amino acid is attached (by aminoacyl-tRNA synthetases). tRNAs cope with the degeneracy of the genetic code in two manners: having more than one tRNA (with a specific anti-codon) for a particular amino acid; and 'wobble' base-pairing, i.e. permitting non-standard base-pairing at the 3rd anti-codon position.
Source: Rfam by way of RNAcentral